Phoenix dactylifera (date palm) is the source of this 1423-nucleotide non-coding RNA. Lineage: Eukaryota; Viridiplantae; Streptophyta; Magnoliopsida; Arecales; Arecaceae. The record is from RefSeq and is a predicted model, not a curated record.
UUUGAAUUAUGUUGGCAUAUGCUAUUUUGAAAUUUUGUAAAACUACUUUUGACCAACUUAAAUAAUUAUGUCAUCUUUAAACAUAUGUGAUUGCUUUGAUAUAAUCUGCUGCCUUGCACGCCUGUGCGGCCCGCCGUGCGGGCGUGCGGCAUCUGCCGCGCCUCGGGCUCGGGGCGUGACACUAGGGGCAAGGCUUGAUUGUGUCUAGACCAAAUAGGGACUAGAUCAUGCAGUGGAUAUGGAGACAUCACCUCUGAUUAUUUCAUUUACACUAUACCAAUUGCGGAUGAAGCUUAAUAGGAACGUAGAUCUUGGGGAAAGAUCAUCUCAGAGCCCGAGCACAUGCAUAUUUUGAGAGUGAAUGCAUGUGUGUCUAAACCAAAUUCUAGAAAGAUUACCAAGGAAAUAUGGGUCAUUACUCUUAGCUAUAUUUGUUGAAACAAUGACAAUCUUGUCUUGAUUUCUUAGCUAUAUUUGCUUAAACAAUGACAAUAGAUAUUGGGAGGUGCAAAUGCAUCCUUGCACUUACCAACUAUCCUACAUGGAUGAUUCUAUAUGAGAAGAAGAAGGUUAUAAAUUGGGUCAUGGAGAAAGCACAGGAGAAUAGGGUUAAAAAGAGCCAUAUCAAUUUGUUUGUAGGACAGUAGAUAAUCUAGAACGGCCUUCACAACUUUGUGGAUGCUUGUUAUGGAAUAUACUGUAGGAGUAGAAGAUCUUCACCAGUGUAGCCUGUGGUGGUGCCUUCUCAUAUUAGGUUGUGACAUCAACAAUUGCAAGUCCUCUCACUGCGGCAUGCACUACCCUGAGGCCCAGAGUUUGAUCCCAUCCCAAAAUUACAUACAGAGAGGGAUACCUAUUCUUAGGGAAAAAGAACAAGGAACAACGGCUGCUAAAGGCAAAGAAAGUAUGUGACUGUAGCCACAGGGAGGGAGGAAGAUAAAGGAUUCAGAUCAGGAAAAAUGCUGCAACAAGGACAUCUUAAGACCAAUCUAAAAAAAUUUCAGAACGAUCAGUAUAAAGUGCACAUUUGCUGAGGCUGCUGAAGUCAGUCCACACAAAACUGUAUAGUCUUGCAAGCUUAUGGUUAAGUUACUGACUCUGCUGAGAUGACAUGUACUUGGUUGUCACAUAUCUCAUGCAUGUGUUGGGUAAUCAGCCUCCCUGGAGGUGUGCUUACUUAGAGGUGGCAAAUUAAGGUUUCUGAGACUUUUUUGUACAGUGAACCAUCUAUUAGUAUUCUCACUUCUUCUUAGUAGAGCUUCCUCAAUAGUAAGUGCUUGGGGAUGCAGGCUAUAAGCCGACUCAUGUAAAUCUUUAUUGAUUGAUACUCGUUUGCAGUACUAAUUUCUUGUUGUAAGUAGAACCUAAAGUCAGGAUAUUCACUUACAAUAAUUUCCACUAAUCUGUUCUGUAUUUGAAAGUA